UACUGUGCAUAAAAGUCGUCUUCAUCACGGAUCAGAACUGAGGCGAGAGAGAGGACCGCGAUGGAGGAAGGAAUCGCGCUGCCCAGUCGCCGUCCGUGGGUAGUCGUCACCGGCGUUGUCGCGAGAAGGAGAGAGCCCGCGUCGGAGAAGAGCC
Arachis ipaensis is the source of this 154-nucleotide non-coding RNA. NCBI's taxonomy places the organism in Eukaryota, Viridiplantae, Streptophyta, Magnoliopsida, Fabales, Fabaceae. The record is from RefSeq and is a predicted model, not a curated record.